This 403-nucleotide ribosomal RNA is filed under the name Verrucomicrobiota bacterium. RNAcentral describes it as "Verrucomicrobia bacterium partial 16S ribosomal RNA". It matches the Rfam family "Bacterial small subunit ribosomal RNA", at positions 355 to 776 of the family's 1533-position model. The record is from RNAcentral. Lineage: Bacteria; Pseudomonadati; Verrucomicrobiota.
UGGGGAAUAUUGCACAAUGGGCGCAAGCCUGAUGCAGCAACGCCGCGUGAACGAUGAAGGUCUUCGGAUCGUAAAGUUCUGUUGCAGGGGAAGAUAAUGACGGUACCCUGUGAGGAAGCCCCGGCUAACUACGUGCCAGCAGCCGCGGUAAUACGUAGGGGGCUAGCGUUAUCCGGAUUUACUGGGCGUAAAGGGUGCGUAGGUGGUCUUUCAAGUCGGUGGUUAAAGGCUACGGCUCAACCGUAGUUAGCCUCCGAAACUGGAAGACUUGAGUGCAGGAGAGGAAAGUGGAAUUCCCAGUGUAGCGGUGAAAUGCGUAGAUAUUGGGAGGAACACCAGUAGCGAAGGCGACUUUCUGGACUUUUACUGACGCUCAGGUACGAAAGCGUGGGGAGCAAACAGG